Sceloporus undulatus (fence lizard) is the source of this 371-nucleotide long non-coding RNA. RefSeq lists it as uncharacterized. NCBI's taxonomy places the organism in Eukaryota, Metazoa, Chordata, Lepidosauria, Squamata, Phrynosomatidae. The transcript has 3 exons. The record is from RefSeq and is a predicted model, not a curated record.
UAUCACCAGCAAGUCAAAGCCAACGACGAAGUUUGUUCUGUACAGACUGUAAAAAGGGAUUCUGCUUUUCACAUCACUUUAUUGUGAAGAACCAUUCCAUCCAUUGGGGUGCUUUCACAAGAGUUGCCAAAGAAAAAGCAAGAAGACACCUUGUGGCACCUUACAGAUGAAACGUUCAUGGGCUGGAGUCCACAUGCACAGGUGUGGAAAAUGCAAUCCAUGUGGAAAAACUGGUUUCAACAAGCCCAUCUGCUAGCUAGGGAAAAGAUAAGAUGGUACCACUCUUCCAUUCCACAUACAGAAACCAAUCAGACUGGCUGCUGAAUCUGACAUCAAUAUGGAGAAUGGAUCAGAAACCCUCCUUCCCCUGA